Molecule: ribosomal RNA, 440 nt
Filed under: uncultured bacterium
Lineage: Bacteria
Description: partial 16S ribosomal RNA
Rfam family: Bacterial small subunit ribosomal RNA
Source: RNAcentral
CCUACGGGAGGCUGCAGUGGGGAAUAUUGCACAAUGGGGGAAACCCUGAUGCAGCGACGCCGCGUGAGUGAAGAAGUAUUUCGGUCUGUAAAGCUCUAUCAGCAGGGAAGAAAAUGACGGUACCUGAUUAAGAAGCCCCGGCUAACUACGUGCCAGCAGCCGCGGUACUACGUAGGGGGCAAGCGUUAUCCGGAUUUACUGGGUGUAAAGGGAGCGUAGACGGCAGCACAAGUCUGGAGUGAAAUGCCGGGGCUUAACCCCGGAACUGCUUUGGAAACUGUGCAGCUAGAGUGCAGGAGAGGUAAGUGGAAUUCCGAGUGUAGCGGUGAAAUGCGUAGAUAUUAGGAGGAACACCAGUGGCGAAGGCGGCUUACUGGACUGUAACUGACGUUGAGGCUCGAAAGCGUGGGGAGCAAACAGGAUUAGAUACCCUUGUAGUC